UACAGGCAUGAAAAUAAGAUUUUCUGGA
Molecule: small RNA, 28 nt
Filed under: Bombyx mori (domestic silkworm)
Lineage: Eukaryota; Metazoa; Arthropoda; Insecta; Lepidoptera; Bombycidae
Description: piRNA piR-bmo-2020464
Source: RNAcentral